This is a long non-coding RNA of Synchiropus splendidus (mandarinfish), 641 nucleotides long. RefSeq lists it as uncharacterized. NCBI's taxonomy places the organism in Eukaryota, Metazoa, Chordata, Actinopteri, Syngnathiformes, Callionymidae. The transcript has 5 exons. The record is from RefSeq and is a predicted model, not a curated record.
GUGACAGAGACUUCAAACCCAGAUUGAGACGUCACCUGGAUCAAGAAAAACACUUCCUGCCCCCACGAUGGCCACCGUGCUUCAGCAAGAAAACAGCUUUGCCACCACAGGUCUGUGGCGGUACUUGAAACGUCAGGGAAGCACGUGAGCCGACACUGCUCUACGCAUCAUCACAGUGACAGCAAAAUGGACAAAAAUGCAGAAGAUGCAGCAAAUGAUUUGUGAGAGGAAAGAGCUGCACAUCUGCUGCGGUGCGUUCAUGUGUCAGCGGAGACAGUCGGAGCCAACGGCAGAAGCUCCAGCUGUCGCCAAGCCCUCGCUACAUCCGUCCAAAGGGAGUUCGAAAAAGCGCUCGUUUAAAGUCAGAACUGCAUUUAUGCGGGCUGGAAUGACAGAGGAGAUAUUUGGUGUUGCAGUGGAUCAGAAAGAAACCUUCCAACUUGCAUCACCAUGGCAACAAAACAUCCCUCGCCUCCCUUCACCUCCAGACAUAAUAGAGCAUAUUGCCUAAUAUUUUUCUCAGCAGGAUUUUACAGUAGGGCCUGAGGGAAGAUGACGUGGUUGCACAUUUGGAUGUUAUAAAACCGACCGAGUGAUUCGCUGUGCAGCUCGCUAGCUUGCUACUGGACGAUGUCAAGGCU